RNAcentral lists this transfer RNA (73 nucleotides) under Camelus bactrianus (Bactrian camel). It matches the Rfam family "tRNA". Rfam says of the family: Transfer RNA (tRNA) molecules are approximately 80 nucleotides in length. Their secondary structure includes four short double-helical elements and three loops (D, anti-codon, and T loops). RNAcentral also lists the same sequence under 2 other names. The record is from Rfam by way of RNAcentral. Lineage: Eukaryota; Metazoa; Chordata; Mammalia; Artiodactyla; Camelidae.
GAGGGUGUAGCUCGACUGGUAGAGCACAUGCUUAGCGUGCACAAGGACCUGGGCUCAAUCCCUGGUACCUUCU